RNAcentral lists this ribosomal RNA (426 nucleotides) under uncultured cyanobacterium. RNAcentral's name for it is "bacterial SSU rRNA". It matches the Rfam family "Bacterial small subunit ribosomal RNA", at positions 354 to 795 of the family's 1533-position model. The record is from RNAcentral. Lineage: Bacteria; Bacillati; Cyanobacteriota.
CUUGGGGAUUUUCCGCAAUGGGCGAAAGCCUGACGGAGCAACGCCGCGUGAGGGAUGAAGGCCUCUGGGCUGUAAACCUCUUUUAUCAAGGAAGAAGAUCUGACGGUACUUGAUGAAUAAGCCACGGCUAAUUCCGUGCCAGCAGCCGCGGUAAUACGGGAGUGGCAAGCGUUAUCCGGAAUUAUUGGGCGUAAAGCGUCCGCAGGCGGCCCUUCAAGUCUGCUGUUAAAAAGUGGAGCUUAACUCCAUCAUGGCAGUGGAAACUUCUGGACUAGAGUGUGGUAGGGGCAGAGGGAAUUCCCGGUGUAGCGGUGAAAUGCGUAGAUAUCGGGAAGAACACCAGUGGCGAAGGCGCUCUGCUGGGCCAUAACUGACGCUCAUGGACGAAAGCCAGGGGAGCGAAAGGGAUUAGAUACCCCUGUAGUC